AGCUAUGGCGGCUGUACACGGGAGGGCUUCGGCCCUGCUGGGUUUUCAGAUAUUCCCCCGGUCUUGCACACCCGUGUCCAGCCGCCACCCCU
Molecule: non-coding RNA, 92 nt
Filed under: Pseudomonas sp. M47T1
Lineage: Bacteria; Pseudomonadati; Pseudomonadota; Gammaproteobacteria; Pseudomonadales; Pseudomonadaceae
Source: RNAcentral